GCAUAUCAAUAAGCGGAGGAAAAGAAACCAACAGGGAUUGCCUCAGUAACGGCGAGUGAAGCGGCAACAGCUCAAAUUUGAAAUCUGGCCCUAGGCCCGAGUUGUAAUUUGCAGAGGAUGUUUCUGGCGAGGUGCCUUCCGAGUUCCCUGGAACGGGACGCCAUAGAGGGUGAGAGCCCCGUACGGUUGGUCGCUAAGCCUCUGUGAAACUCCUUCGACGAGUCGAGUAGUUUGGGAAUGCUGCUCUAAAUGGGAGGUAUACGUCUUCUAAAGCUAAAUACCGGCCAGAGACCGAUAGCGCACAAGUAGAGUGAUCGAAAGAUGAAAAGCACUUUGAAAAGAGGGUUAAAUAGUACGUGAAAUUGUUGAAAGGGAAGCGCUUAUGACCAGACUUGGACCGGUUGAUCAUCCAUCGUUCUCGGUGGUGCACUCUGCCGGUUCAGGCCAGCAUCAGUUCGUCCCGGGGGAUAAAGGCUUUGGGAAUGUGGCUCUUCGGAGUGUUAUAGCCCACUGCGUAAUACCCUGGGAUGGACUGAGGUUCGCGCUCCGCAAGGAUGCUGGCGUAAUGGUCAUCAGUGACCCGUCUUGAAACACGGACCAAGGAGUCGUCUUCGUAUGCGAGUGUUCGGGUGUCAAACCCCUACGCGUAAUGAAAGUGAACGUAGGAGAGAGCUUCGGCGCAUCUCCGACCGAUCCUGAUGUUCUCGGAUGGAUUUGAGUAAGAGCAUACGGGGCCGGACCCGAAAGAAGGUGAACUAUGCUUGUAUAGGGUGAAGCCAGAGGAAACUCUGGUGGAGGCUCGCAGCGGUUCUGACGUGCAAAUCGAUCGUCAAAUAUGAGCAUGGGGGGCGAAAGACUAAUCGAACCUUCUAGUAGCUGGUUUCCGCCGA
Molecule: ribosomal RNA, 890 nt
Filed under: Verruciconidia persicina
Lineage: Eukaryota; Fungi; Ascomycota; Sordariomycetes; Hypocreales; Bionectriaceae
Description: LSU rRNA
Rfam family: Eukaryotic large subunit ribosomal RNA
Source: RNAcentral